The sequence is an unclassified non-coding RNA, 319 nucleotides long. It matches the Rfam family "Metazoan signal recognition particle RNA". Rfam says of the family: The signal recognition particle (SRP) is a universally conserved ribonucleoprotein. The record is from Ensembl.
GCCGUGGCACACACCUGUAGUCCCAGCUACUCAGGAGGCUGAGCAGGAGUACAGGAUUGCUUGAGUACAGGAGCUUUGGGCUGAAGUGCGCUAUGUCUAUAGGGUGUCCAUACUAAGUUCAGUAUCAAUAUGGUGAGUUCCUGGGAACGGGAAACCACCAGGUUGCCUAAGGAGGGGUGAACCGGACCAGGUCGGAAAUGGAGCAUGUCAAGAAUCACAUGGAAGACUAAAUAAGCCUUUAAUAGCUUCCUGGAGAGGUGGACAGAGGAGUUUAAUCAUUUAGAGCCCCAGAGGGAAUUAAGAGUAAGAUAGUUCUGUC